RNAcentral lists this ribosomal RNA (425 nucleotides) under bacterium. RNAcentral's name for it is "partial 16S ribosomal RNA". It matches the Rfam family "Bacterial small subunit ribosomal RNA", at positions 355 to 776 of the family's 1533-position model. The record is from RNAcentral.
UGGGGAAUAUUGCACAAUGGGCGCAAGCCUGAUGCAGCGACGCCGCGUGAGGGAUGGAGGCCUUCGGGUUGUAAACCUCUUUCGCCAGUGAAGCAGGCCAUCUUCUUUGUGGGGUGGUUGACGGUAGCUGGAUAAGAAGCGCCGGCUAACUACGUGCCAGCAGCCGCGGUAAUACGUAGGGCGCGAGCGUUGUCCGGAAUUAUUGGGCGUAAAGAGCUCGUAGGCGGCUGGUCGCGUCUGUCGUGAAAUCCCCUGGCUUAACUGGGGGCUUGCGGUGGGUACGGGCCGGCUUGAGUGCGGUAGGGGAGACUGGAAUUCCUGGUGUAGCGGUGGAAUGCGCAGAUAUAAGGAGGAACACCGGUGGCGAGGGCGGGUCUCUGGGCCGUUACUGACGCUGAGGAGCGAAAGCGUGGGGAGCGAACAGG